This 497-nucleotide ribosomal RNA is filed under the name uncultured bacterium. RNAcentral's name for it is "partial 16S ribosomal RNA". It matches the Rfam family "Bacterial small subunit ribosomal RNA", at positions 28 to 507 of the family's 1533-position model. The record is from RNAcentral.
GAUGAACGCUGGCGGCGUGCCUAAUACAUGCAAGUCGAGCGAACAGACGAGGAGCUUGCUCCUCUGACGUUAACGGCGGACGGGUGAGUAACACGUGGAUAACCUACCUAUAAGACUGGGAUAACUUCGGGAAACCGGAGCUAAUACCGGAUAAUAUAUUGAACCGCAUGGUUCAAUAGUGAAAGACGGUUUUGCUGUCACUUAUAGAUGGAUCCGCGCCGCAUUAGCUAGUUGGUAAGGUAACGGCUUACCAAGGCAACCAUGCGUAGCCGACCUGAGAGGGUGAUCGGCCACACUGGAACUGAGACACGGUCCAGACUCCUACGGGAGGCAGCAGUAGGGAAUCUUCCGCAAUGGGCGAAAGCUUGACGGAGCAACGCCGCGUGAGGGAUGAAGGUCUUCGGAUCGUAAAACUCGGUUAUUAGGGAAGAACAAAUGUGUAAGUAACUAUGCACGUCUUGACGGUACCUAAUCAGAAAGCCACGGCUAACUACGUG